AUGUCGGCCAACAUCAUCAAGACUGCCAUGGCUAUGGGAAUCCGGUGGAAGAGGACCUCUCGGAUGUUAUUACGUGGAAGCAGAUCUACGAGUUGAUUACUAUGAUUACCUACUUGAUAGUGGUAUCUCUUUGGGUUUUCAAACAUGUAUUCUUUCGCAUGAUAAGUGAUCAGCUCAAGUGUAUCGCCCCAGCAUUUUGAUUCGCUACGACGUAGGUUCACUCGCAAGUUUCAGACGUCGAUAAUGAUCGGAGAGAAGGUCGUUACACCAUUCUUUUAAAUGGGAAUACUUUUUUAUAAUUGUACUAUUUAUUUGAUGCACAAAACAAGUUUGAUGCUAUUAAAAGUCUUUUACAAAUAAUAUAGAGACUUCGAUUGACAUUAUGCUAGUGCUAAUAAAAUCACCUUUCAAAGAAAAAAAAAA
This is a non-coding RNA of Theobroma cacao (cacao), 423 nucleotides long. Lineage: Eukaryota; Viridiplantae; Streptophyta; Magnoliopsida; Malvales; Malvaceae. The record is from RefSeq and is a predicted model, not a curated record.